Molecule: ribosomal RNA, 645 nt
Filed under: Typhlodromus phialatus
Lineage: Eukaryota; Metazoa; Arthropoda; Arachnida; Mesostigmata; Phytoseiidae
Description: eukaryotic LSU rRNA
Rfam family: Eukaryotic large subunit ribosomal RNA
Source: RNAcentral
CAGUGAACUGGAAUCAAGCCUAUCGCCAAUUCUUAUGUUUCGUACAAUAAGAGAUGAGGUGUAAAGGAGUUUCGUGUUGAACAGACGCACGGCCUAAAUAUUAUCGAGUGAGUUCUCAAAGAAGGUGAAAAGCCUGUUUGGUUGUGUCUGUCUGUUGAAUCGGAAUUCUUACGAGUCUAGUUGUUUGAGAGUACAACUUAAAGUUGGUGGUAAAUUUCAUCAAAGGCUAAAUAUAUGAGGGGACUAAUAGCGAACAAGUACCAUGAGGGAAAGUUGAAAAGAACUCUGACGAGAGAGUUCAACAGUGCGUGAAACCAUAUUGAGUAAAACAGAUAACUGUGUCGUUAUGCGGCGUGUCUAUCAACAGUAUAUCAGGUGUUGCGAUGCGGCGAGUGUGAGCUGUUUAUUCAGACGAUCGCUAGCCGUUAGCAUAGCUUGGGGUUCUGUGUACUAGUGCACGUCCAAUCAUUGAGAAACUAUGCUACUGCGGCAUCGGUGGUCAUCAGUCCGCGCCUAGCGCGAAGUUGACUAUUGGGCUCUGCUGGCGGCGUAGUUUAGCUGUGUGACAGCUGUGGAACGCGUUCGUUGAAUGUGCCUGCUUUGUCUACGGAUCGGUUUAUUCCUUUCUGUGGUGAGUAUGGUACA